Non-coding RNA from Oryza sativa Japonica Group (Japanese rice), 857 nucleotides. The record is from RefSeq and is a predicted model, not a curated record. NCBI's taxonomy places the organism in Eukaryota, Viridiplantae, Streptophyta, Magnoliopsida, Poales, Poaceae.
CUUACAGCACGGUCUGUGGUGACCAUCAGUUGAGCGACCAUGGGCAAUGGAGAAGAACUUGUUGCCAUGGAUGUGCUAGGAGGUUCCUCUCCGUUACUCGCAGCCAUCAUCACCAGUACUCACUACAGGUACAAGCUGUGUAUUUCCCCAUCCAGCAUGGCCUAGCGAGUGGUGGCGAUGGCGCAGCAACAUGACCAUUCAACCGGUGGCAGCGGCGGCGACCACUGGCGAGCACGUUGGAGGCGAGACGGCGACCGCGGGCUAGCGCGGCGGCGGCGACCGCAGGCCGACGCGCAGGAGGCGAGGCGGCGAAGACCUCUGGCCGGUGCGCAGGAGGCGAGACGGCGACGGCGGUCCAGCGCGGCGGCGGUGACCGCUGGCCGACGUGCAGGAGGCGAGGCGGCGACCGCGGGCCUGUGCGGCGGCAAGGAGUGCUGGCCGGUGCGCAGGAGGCGAGACGGCGACCGCGGGCCAGCGUGGCGGCAGCGACCACUGGCCGGCACGAAGGGAGGCGCGGCGGCGACCGCAGGCCAGUGUGGUCCGGCGCGAAGGGGAGCUCAGGGACGACCACAGGUGGUGCUGCUGGACUUUGUGAUGCUAGCUAACAUUGUGUUGAAAUUCAGUGAGAUCUCUUUUUUCAAAGUAUGUUGAAAUUUUGUGAAAUGAAAUCUUGUCUAAUCAUUGCUGAAAUCAUGUUGGAAUCCUGUUGAAAUUUUGUGAUAUUUGUUAAGCUAUUGCUGAAAUAUAGUCAAACUUUUUAUAAAUUCCAAGUAUAGCAAAGUUCACUUCGAAACAUUUGUAAAGUUCCGUUCAAAGCUGAACUCAAAACGGGUAAAUACACAAGUGAACACAUAUUU